ACGUCGAUGGGUUGGCCGAUGCCCGAUUAGCUAGUUGGUGAGGUAAUGGCUCACCAAGGCGAUGAUCGGUAGCUGGUCUGAGAGGAUGAUCAGCCACACUGGGACUGAGACACGGCCCAG
This 120-nucleotide ribosomal RNA is filed under the name uncultured bacterium. RNAcentral's name for it is "partial 16S ribosomal RNA". It matches the Rfam family "Bacterial small subunit ribosomal RNA", at positions 215 to 334 of the family's 1533-position model. The record is from RNAcentral.